CCAAAGUCCUAGGAUUACAAGUGUUGGCCACCAGCUGGACACAGUGGCUCACGCCUGUAAUCCCAGCAUUUUGG
RNAcentral lists this microRNA precursor (74 nucleotides) under Pongo abelii (Sumatran orangutan). RNAcentral's name for it is "miRNA". Lineage: Eukaryota; Metazoa; Chordata; Mammalia; Primates; Hominidae. The record is from RNAcentral.